RNAcentral lists this long non-coding RNA (445 nucleotides) under Phoenix dactylifera (date palm). RNAcentral's name for it is "long non-coding RNA (PDAC_LNC006199)". Lineage: Eukaryota; Viridiplantae; Streptophyta; Magnoliopsida; Arecales; Arecaceae. The record is from RNAcentral.
CAAUUUUCUAUUCAUCACAAGUGUUGCAUCUUCAAAUUGAACUCCUGUGUAUUGUGAUGAAGUCCUUAGGACUAAUUUAGUGGAUAAAAGAGGUUUUAUCAUUUAGUCCUUAAACCAGUUCGCGACCAAAUGACGAGCUGUCAAUUGGACGAUAGCUAUGUCAAGUAUAGAUUGUUGUGUGCCAUUUAGUUGGUUGUCCUCUUAAACCAAGGAGUGUGGAGACACUGUAUGGCAUACAGGUGAGAUGUAGGAGUACAUCGUCACUGAAUAGUGACUCACCUGCGUAGCACUCCACUGUCGGGAGUUAGCUCGUAAAACGUAUGGGCAUAAGUACCCCUUAGACCUGAGACUGUCACGGUGACUUACAAGCAACUCACUGUACUUAGGCACUGGAUGACCUGAAUUUCUAAUUUAGGGAUCGGAAGGAUGCUGGGUGCAGUCAAGU